UUUGUGGAAUAAUUUGGUGGCAAAGAAGGUAGUGUAUGAUUCUACAUUUCCACAUUUAUUAGCUAUGUCAUUGGUUGAGUUAUUUACUUUUCUAUGAUUCAAUUAAUCAAUAUCUAAAAUAUAUUUUCUGGGCAGCCCUGGUGGCUCAGCAGUUUAGCACCACCUUUGGCCCAGGGUGUGAUCCUGGGGACCCGGGAUCGAGUCCCACAUCGGGCUCCCGGCAUGGAGCCUGCUUCUCCCUCUGCCUGUCUCACUCUCUCUCUCUCUCAUUAAUAAAAAAAUUAAAUCUUUAAAAAAAUAAGAUAAAUAAAAUAUAUUUUCUUACAUCGCUGAUAGUAAUGUACACUAGUAUAAACACUUUUGAACACCCUCCUAGAGCUCUUCUAACAUUAAAGUUCAUACACACACACACACACACACACACACAUAUAUGGAAGAACAUGUAGAAACAUGUAGAAGAAUAUAAUCACAGAUUUAUUUAUGAUAGCCUAAUAUUGAAAGGUUUCCAAAUGUCUUUAUCCCUAGAAUGAGUUUUAAAAAGUGUAAAAUAUUCAUAAAUAUAAUUCUAUACAGCAAUGGAAAACACACUACUAAUACACAUGGUAUAGGUGCAUCUUAACCACAGUGAGAGAGAGAAAUUAGAAACAAAAUAAUAGAAAUUAAUGCUUUAUUUAUAUUACUUCAAAACAAGCAAACUAAUUUAUGAUGAUAGAUGUCAGAAUAAUUAUUACUCUUCAGUGGGGAUACUAACUGGAAAGGGCACAAGGAAAUGUUCUAAAAUGAUGGAAGUAUUAUAAAUCUUGAUCUGGGAGGCAGUUAAAUAGCUUUUGUCGUAUGUAAACAUUUAUUUAGUUGUAUAUAUUAUAUUUGUGUACUUGCUAUAUGUAAAAUAUACUUCAAAAAUUAGAGAAUUGAUAGAAGGUAGGUAAUUAGAGAAAGCCUGGGUAAAUGAUUAUUGAGAAAAUGAAAUGUUUUAAUCAAAAGGAUUAUAACAGGGCUGCUGGGUGGCUCAGCUGGUUAAGCAUCUGACUUAUGAUUUUGCCUUAGGUCGUGAUCUCAGGGCCAUGAGAUGGAGCCCCACGUUAAGCCUGCUUAAGAUUCUUUCUCUCCCUCUCCUUCUGCCCUUUUCCUCUUGCUCUGUCUCUCUUUCUCUAAAAAGAAAAGGAUCACAGCAUCCCUGGUUAAUCUAUUUUCUCUCCUGUCCAAUAUGUAGUUACUAGCUAUUUAAAUUCAAAUUUAGUUAAAAUUAUAUACAAGUAAAAAUUUAGUUUCUCAGUUGCUCUAGCCACAUUUUAAGUGUUCAAUAACCAUAUGUGGCUAAUGGACCACAAUACUGGCAACAAAGAUUUUAAAAUGAAUUUAUCAUUGAAGAAAGUCAUAUAUAGCCAACAUGUCCCUUCAGUCUUUGCAAUGCUGAAAAUGAUAUGCUGGAAAGGAUACAAUAAAUACCUGAAUAUUUAUGUAUUUAUGUACAUAUAAAAGAUAGAAACUAGACACAAACUUUAUACUUGUCACAAAAAAUGAACUCAAAAUGUAUCAUAGACCAAAUAUAACCUGGAAAAUUAUAUAAAUCUAGAAUAUAAUGUAAAAAAUUUAAGAGACCACAGGUUUGGUGAUAGGUUUUCAGACACGACACCAAAAGUAUGACCAAUGUAAGAAAAAAUUAAAGUUAGACUUUAUUAAACUGUAAUCUUCUGCUUUGCAAAAUAUGCUGUAAGGUGAAUGAAAAUACAUGCUACAAACCAGGUGAAAUUGUUUACAAACCACAUCUAUGAUAAAAGAGUUGUAUCUAAAUAACAAAAAUUACUUAAAAUUCAACAAUAAAAAGGCAACCCAAUAGAGUGUGGACAAAAUGAUCUGAACAAACACUCCACCAAAAUAAGAUAAAUAGAUGACAAAUAAGCAUAUGAAAACAUGCUCAACAUCAUCUGUAAUUAGGGAACAGGAAACCUAAACAACAAUGAGAUGGCACUUCACACCUAUCAGAAUGGCUGGAGUCCAAAGACCUUAACAAAGCAUAUGCUGGCAAGAAUGUAGAGCCACAGGAACUUAAUUCAUUGCUUACAGAAAUGCAAAACGGUACACCAACUUUGGGGAUGUUUGGCAGUUUGGCAGUUGUGCUUCUGGGUAUUUAUCCAAAAGGACUGAAAGCACUAUGUCCACAUAAAAACCUGCACAUAAAAUUUUAUAACACCUUCAUUCACAAUCACUUAGAAGCCACCAAGAUGUCCUUCAACAAGUGAAUGGAUAAACUGUGCUGCAUCCAUAUGAUGACAUAUUAUUCAGUGAUAAAAAGAAUUUAGCUCUUAAGCCAUCAUAAGGUAUGUAUGAACCUUCAGAUCACAUUGCUAUGUGAAAGAAGCAGUCUGAAAGGCUACUUACUGUAUGAUCCUGAUUAAAUAAUAUUCAGGAAAUAGACUAUAGAGAGUAGAUGGAUUAGUGGUUGUCAGGGGUUUGGGAGUUGACAGAAUAGGUGAAACAAAGGGGAUUUUUUUCAGUUCAGUAAAACUUUUUUUUUUUUAAUGAUACUAUAAUAGAUGGGUACACAAUAUCAUAUAUGGGUCAAAAUCUAUAAAGCUUUAUAGCACAAAAAGUGAAAGUUACUUAUGAAAAAAUUUAAAACGUCUCCUUUAAGACAUGGAGAGGUUCUAGGAUGGAAAAUAGAUGGUGACAAAAUAAUUGACUAUUUCAAAUAUAUGAAGCAAUGUCACUGAAGGGGGUGGAAAGAAAAGGCACUGACCUCUCAGUAACUCUGAAAAUGAGUGGAAUUAUAUGACUGAAGUCAAAGGAACUACACAUAAGCCCUGUGUUCUAGUUAAUAAGGUAGUUUCCCCUGAAGGAAUAGGGUAACUUCUGAUACUACUAUCCAUGUCUAUAGAAAUUGAACAAUUAAGUAACUAGAUCCAGAAAGUGGGAGUGAAGUUUCUCACUAUUUGGAGUGGGAAUUUCCAGAAAACUAAGAGGGAAAGUUUAGAAUGACUCAUAUGCUAAUGACAUAGACUUGGGAAUAUGAGGAUGAACUCAUGCUUAGCUUAAUGUAGAUACAAAUACAUAAUAGAAAUACCUAUACAAAUAGAAAGAUAAACAUGGGUUAGUGUAAACUUUACAUGUAUGUCUUUGUUACAUCAGCUGACUUGGGUUAGAAGCAAUGGCACUUUGGUAGACGUGAGCAUACCUGGUGACCAUAUAUUGGUUCCUCAUAUUAUUC
RNAcentral lists this long non-coding RNA (3208 nucleotides) under Canis lupus familiaris (dog). Its description in RNAcentral is "lncRNA (ENSCAFG00000052929.1)". The record is from RNAcentral. Lineage: Eukaryota; Metazoa; Chordata; Mammalia; Carnivora; Canidae.